This 253-nucleotide ribosomal RNA is filed under the name uncultured bacterium. Its description in RNAcentral is "partial 16S ribosomal RNA". It matches the Rfam family "Bacterial small subunit ribosomal RNA", at positions 524 to 776 of the family's 1533-position model. The record is from RNAcentral.
GACGAACCGUGCGAACGUUGUUCGGAUUCACUGGGCUUAAAGGGCGCGUAGGCGGGCGAGCGAGUCCGGGGUGAAAUCUUUCGGCUUAACCGGAAAAGGGCCUUGGAUACCGCUCGUCUCGAGGGAGGUAGGGGCAGGCGGAACUUCCGGUGGAGCGGUGAAAUGCGUUGAUAUCGGAAGGAACGCCGGUGGCGAAAGCGGCCUGCUGGACCUCUUCUGACGCUGAGGCGCGAAAGCCAGGGGAGCGAACGGG